Molecule: non-coding RNA, 270 nt
Organism: Vicia faba (fava bean)
Lineage: Eukaryota; Viridiplantae; Streptophyta; Magnoliopsida; Fabales; Fabaceae
Source: the annotation of a GenBank genome assembly
AUGAUUGACAAGUGGCAGAGGAUUUUUUUAAGGAAAGAGAAAAAAAUAACACAACAUAUAUGGAUUAGAAAAACAGAAAAGAAAAUCCUCUUCAUUCUUAUGCGAAUCAUCUCUCUUUGCUGCCUCUACAUCUUUAAUCUUUUUCUUCUAAAAAAAACCUCCCUUUUCCAUCUUCCAUCAAUCUUGCCUCAAAAUCUGCAAAGACAAAUAACACCUCCAAGAUCUAUGAUUCAAACAUGGGCAACAUACCUACGACGACCGCGUAUGUGA